GCGGCUGCUUGAAAUCACGAGUUCACGGGUCGUUCGCCCUGCGGUUCGACAAGUUCCGUAGGGGUGACCUGCGGAAGGAUCAUUG
This 85-nucleotide ribosomal RNA is filed under the name Lawsonia inermis (henna). RNAcentral's name for it is "partial 18S ribosomal RNA". Lineage: Eukaryota; Viridiplantae; Streptophyta; Magnoliopsida; Myrtales; Lythraceae. The record is from RNAcentral.